AGAGUUUGAUCCUGGCUCAGGACGAACGCUGGCGGCGUGCUUAACACAUGCAAGUCGAGCGGAAAGGCCUUUCGGGGUACUCGAGCGGCGAACGGGUGAGUAACACGUGAGUAACCUGCCCCUGGCUUUGGGAUAACCAUCGGAAACGGUGGCUAAUACCGAAUAUUCACUUCUUCCCGCAUGGGUUGUUGUGGAAAGUUUUUCGGCUGGGGAUGGGCUCGCGGCCUAUCAGCUUGUUGGUGGGGUGAUGGCCUACCAAGGCUUUGACGGGUAGCCGGCCUGAGAGGGCGACCGGCCACACUGGGACUGAGACACGGCCCAGACUCCUACGGGAGGCAGCAGUGGGAAUAUUGCACAAUGGGCGGAAGCCUGAUGCAGCGACGCCGCGUGAGGGAUGACGGCCUUCGGGUUGUAAACCUCUUUCAGCAGGGACGAAGCGAAAGUGACGGUACCUGCAGAAGAAGCGCCGGCCAACUACGUGCCAGCAGCCGCGGUAAGACGUAGGGCGCGAGCGUUGUCCGGAUUUAUUGGGCGUAAAGAGCUCGUAGGCGGCUUGUUGCGUCGUCCGUGAAAACCUGGGGCUCAACUCCAGGCUUGCGGUCGAUACGGGCAGGCUAGAGUUCGGUAGGGGAGACUGGAAUUCCUGGUGUAGCGGUGAAAUGCGCAGAUAUCAGGAGGAACACCGGUGGCGAAGGCGGGUCUCUGGGCCGAUACUGACGCUGAGGAGCGAAAGCGUGGGGAGCGAACAGGAUUAGAUACCCUGGUAGUCCACGCUGUAAACGUUGGGCGCUAGGUGUGGGGGGCCUCUCCGGUUUCCUGCGCCGUAGCUAACGCAUUAAGCGCCCCGCCUGGGGAGUACGGCCGUAAGGCUAAAACUCAAAGGAAUUGACGG
RNAcentral lists this ribosomal RNA (892 nucleotides) under uncultured soil bacterium. RNAcentral's name for it is "bacterial SSU rRNA". It matches the Rfam family "Bacterial small subunit ribosomal RNA", at positions 8 to 916 of the family's 1533-position model. The record is from RNAcentral.